This 720-nucleotide ribosomal RNA is filed under the name Lactobacillus delbrueckii subsp. bulgaricus. Its description in RNAcentral is "bacterial SSU rRNA". It matches the Rfam family "Bacterial small subunit ribosomal RNA", at positions 129 to 835 of the family's 1533-position model. The record is from RNAcentral. Lineage: Bacteria; Bacillati; Bacillota; Bacilli; Lactobacillales; Lactobacillaceae.
CCCUAAAGACUGGGAUACCACUUGGAAACAGGUGCUAAUACCGGAUAACAACAUGAAUCGCAUGAUUCAAGUUUGAAAGGCGGCGUAAGCUGUCACUUUAGGAUGAGCCCGCGGCGCAUUAGCUAGUUGGUGGGGUAAAGGCCUACCAAGGCAAUGAUGCGUAGCCGAGUUGAGAGACUGAUCGGCCACAUUGGGACUGAGACACGGCCCAAACUCCUACGGGAGGCAGCAGUAGGGAAUCUUCCACAAUGGACGCAAGUCUGAUGGAGCAACGCCGCGUGAGUGAAGAAGGUUUUCGGAUCGUAAAGCUCUGUUGUUGGUGAAGAAGGAUAGAGGCAGUAACUGGUCUUUAUUUGACGGUAAUCAACCAGAAAGUCACGGCUAACUACGUGCCAGCAGCCGCGGUAAUACGUAGGUGGCAAGCGUUGUCCGGAUUUAUUGGGCGUAAAGCGAGCGCAGGCGGAAUGAUAAGUCUGAUGUGAAAGCCCACGGCUCAACCGUGGAACUGCAUCGGAAACUGUCAUUCUUGAGUGCAGAAGAGGAGAGUGGAAUUCCAUGUGUAGCGGUGGAAUGCGUAGAUAUAUGGAAGAACACCAGUGGCGAAGGCGGCUCUCUGGUCUGCAACUGACGCUGAGGCUCGAAAGCAUGGGUAGCGAACAGGAUUAGAUACCCUGGUAGUCCAUGCCGUAAACGAUGAGCGCUAGGUGUUGGGGACUUUCC